UACGAAGGUCCCAAGCGUUAUCCGGAUUUAUUGGGUUUAAAGGGUGCGUAGGCGGGUUAUUAAGUCAGUGGUGAAAGCCUUCAGCUUAACUGAAGAAUUGCCAUUGAUACUGAUGAUCUUGAGUAUGAUUGAGGUUGGCGGAAUGUGUCAUGUAGCGGUGAAAUGCUUAGAUAUGACACAGAACACCGAUUGCGAAGGCAGCUAACUAAGUCAUAACUGACGCUGAUGCACGAAAGCGUGGGGGAGCAAACAGG
RNAcentral lists this ribosomal RNA (254 nucleotides) under uncultured bacterium. Its description in RNAcentral is "partial 16S ribosomal RNA". It matches the Rfam family "Bacterial small subunit ribosomal RNA", at positions 524 to 776 of the family's 1533-position model. The record is from RNAcentral.